Molecule: ribosomal RNA, 700 nt
Filed under: uncultured bacterium
Lineage: Bacteria
Description: bacterial SSU rRNA
Rfam family: Bacterial small subunit ribosomal RNA
Source: RNAcentral
AGAGUUUGAUCAUGGCUCAGAACGAACGUUGGCGGCGUGGAUUAGGCAUGCAAGUCGAACGAAUCCCCGUGGGGGUAACUCUGCGGGGGGAAGUGGCGAAAGGGGCAGUAAAGCGUGGAUAACCUGCCCCCGAGACGGGGAUAGCCCUUCUAACGAGGGGGUAAUACCCGGAGACCUGGCGAGGAGGCAUCUUCUUGCCAGCAAAGGAGUUUCGCUCGGGGAGGGGUUCACGUGCUAUUAGCUGGUUGGCGGGGUAACGGCCCACCAAGGCGUAGAUGGCUAGCGGGUGUGAGAGCACGACCCGCGCCACUGGCACUGAGACACUGGCCAGACUCCUACGGGAGGCUGCAGUCGAGGAUCUUCGGCAAUGGGCGCAAGCCUGACCGAGCGACGCCGCGUGCGCGAUGAAGGCCUUCGGGUUGUAAAGCGCUGUCGAGGGGGAGGAAAGUCCGCAAGGACCUGACCUAUCCCUGGAGGAAGCACGGGCUAAGUUCGUGCCAGCAGCCGCGGUAAGACGAACCGUGCGAACGUUGUUCGGAAUCACUGGGCUUAAAGGGCGCGUAGGCGGACUCUCCAGUCGGGAGUGAAAUCGCUCGGCCCAACCGAGCAAGGGCUUCCGAUACUGAGAGUCUCGAGGGAGGUAGGGGUCGAGGGAACUGGUGGUGGAGCGGUGAAAUGCGUAGAUAUCACUAGGAACGCC